This 692-nucleotide ribosomal RNA is filed under the name Bipolaris sp. ES141. RNAcentral's name for it is "SSU rRNA". It matches the Rfam family "Eukaryotic small subunit ribosomal RNA", at positions 90 to 801 of the family's 1831-position model. Lineage: Eukaryota; Fungi; Ascomycota; Dothideomycetes; Pleosporales; Pleosporaceae. The record is from RNAcentral.
CGAAUGGCUCAUUAAAUCAGUUAUCGUUUAUUUGAUAAUACCUACUACUUGGAUAACCGUGGUAAUUCUAGAGCUAAUACAUGCUGAAAAUCCCGACGGAAGGGAUGUGUUUAUUAGAUAAAAAACCAAUGCCCUUCGGGGCUCUUUGGUGAUUCAUGAUAACUUUACGGAUCGCAUAGCCUUGCGCUGGCGACGGUUCAUUCAAAUUUCUGCCCUAUCAACUUUCGAUGGUAAGGUAUUGGCUUACCAUGGUUUCAACGGGUAACGGGGAAUUAGGGUUCGAUUCCGGAGAGGGAGCCUGAGAAACGGCUACCACAUCCAAGGAAGGCAGCAGGCGCGCAAAUUACCCAAUCCCGACACGGGGAGGUAGUGACAAUAAAUACUGAUACAGGGCUCUUUUGGGUCUUGUAAUUGGAAUGAGUACAAUUUAAACCUCUUAACGAGGAACAAUUGGAGGGCAAGUCUGGUCCAGCAGCCGCGGUAAUUCCAGCUCCAAUAGCGUAUAUUAAAGUUGUUGCAGUUAAAAAGCUCGUAGUUGAAACUUGGGCCUGGCUGGCGGGUCCGCCUCACCGCGUGCACUCGUCCGGCCGGGCCUUCCUUCUGAAGAACCUCAUGCCCUUCACUGGGCGUGUGGGGAUCAGGACUUUUACUUUGAAAAAAUUAGAGUGUUCAAAGCAGGCUUUGCUCGAAUA